UGCAGUCGAGCGGACCGACGGGAGCUUGCUCCCUUAGGUCAGCGGCGGACGGGUGAGUAACACGUGGGUAACCUGCCUGUAAGACUGGGAUAACUCCGGGAAACCGGGGCUAAUACCGGAUGCUUGAUUGAACCGCAUGGUUCAAUCAUAAAAGGUGGCUUUUAGCUACCACUUGCAGAUGGACCCGCGGCGCAUUAGCUAGUUGGUGAGGUAACGGCUCACCAAGGCGACGAUGCGUAGCCGACCUGAGAGGGUGAUCGGCCACACUGGGACUGAGACACGGCCCAGACUCCUACGGGAGGCAGCAGUAGGGAAUCUUCCGCAAUGGACGAAAGUCUGACGGAGCAACGCCGCGUGAGUGAUGAAGGUUUUCGGAUCGUAAAACUCUGUUGUUAGGGAAGAACAAGUACCGUUCGAAUAGGGCGGUACCUUGACGGUACCUAACCAGAAAGCCACGGCUAACUACGUGCCAGCAGCCGCGGUAAUACGUAGGUGGCAAGCGUUGUCCGGAAUUAUUGGGCGUAAAGCGCGCGCAGGCGGUUUCUUAAGUCUGAUGUGAAAGCCCCCGGCUCAACCGGGGAGGGUCAUUGGAAACUGGGGAACUUGAGUGCAGAAGAGGAGAGUGGAAUUCCACGUGUAGCGGUGAAAUGCGUAGAGAUGUGGAGGAACACCAGUGGCGAAAGCGACUCUCUGGUCUGUAACUGACGCUGAGGCGCGAAAGCGUGGGAGCGAACAGAUUAGAU
RNAcentral lists this ribosomal RNA (743 nucleotides) under Bacillus licheniformis. Its description in RNAcentral is "bacterial SSU rRNA". It matches the Rfam family "Bacterial small subunit ribosomal RNA", at positions 56 to 783 of the family's 1533-position model. Lineage: Bacteria; Bacillati; Bacillota; Bacilli; Caryophanales; Bacillaceae. The record is from RNAcentral.